GAUGAACGCUAGCUACAGGCUUAACACAUGCAAGUCGAGGGGCAGCAUGUUGUGUGCUUGCACACAAUGAUGGCGACCGGCGCACGGGUGAGUAACGCGUAUCCAACCUGGCCCUCAGUAGGGAAUAGCCCGGCGAAAGUCGGAUUAAUGCCCUAUGUUCUCCUUUGCGGGCAUCUAAUGAGGAGUAAAGAUUUAUCGCUGUGGGAUGGGGAUGCGUCUGAUUAGCUUGUCGGCGGGGUAACGGCCCACCGAGGCGACGAUCAGUAGGGGUUCUGAGAGGAAGGUCCCCCACAUUGGUACUGAGACACGGACCAAACUCC
This 320-nucleotide ribosomal RNA is filed under the name uncultured Prevotella sp. RNAcentral describes it as "bacterial SSU rRNA". It matches the Rfam family "Bacterial small subunit ribosomal RNA", at positions 28 to 339 of the family's 1533-position model. Lineage: Bacteria; Pseudomonadati; Bacteroidota; Bacteroidia; Bacteroidales; Prevotellaceae. The record is from RNAcentral.